This is a long non-coding RNA of Dendronephthya gigantea, 591 nucleotides long. RefSeq lists it as uncharacterized. The transcript has 4 exons. Lineage: Eukaryota; Metazoa; Cnidaria; Anthozoa; Malacalcyonacea; Nephtheidae. The record is from RefSeq and is a predicted model, not a curated record.
GUUGUGAUUACUGAAGCUAGCUGGCCAAAAGGGAAACUCUUUUUUCUAAAAGUCUCACCUCGCACAAGUUUUGAGUCACAGAGCUAUGAAGAUCUUCGUUCUAAUAACCUUGAUUGCAGUAACAAGGAUCGUCAGAAAUGCCACUUCUAGUGCAGCAGUGGAUCCAGGUGAACGGCUUGAUGUAAAAGCAGAAUUACGUGGAAAAAAAAUUAAGAAGCCACCUGCGCAGUUGCCGACUGUAAAUAAGGUUAUCACCAAGCCAAAAACCAAGCUCAAGGUCAAUGCCAACCCAAAUAUAAAACGGAAGGACAUUUGGAAAACAACAAGGGAUACGACACUGUCAAUGCACCCAGAGGACUUGCCAAAAAAUGAUGACUAUAUAAAUGUGCAAGUGAGCACAAUCACUGUUAUGAAGAUCAGAAUGGAAUGCUUUGGAAUUGGGAUGGUACGGGACCAUGCCAUAACCCCAAGCCCUUCAUAGCCAUCCACAAAGGUCAUAUGAUCGCCGCUAGUUACGGAAAAACCCACGGAACACAGAAUGGCAUCGAUGCCACAUUUGCCUACACAAAUGCCGUGCCACAGGAAGGUUCC